GACGAACCGAGCGAACGUUGUUCGGAAUCACUGGGCUUAAAGGGCGCGUAGGCGGGUGCUCAAGUCCGUGGUGAAAUCCUCCGGCUCAACCGGAGAACUGCCUCGGAUAUUGGGUGCCUCGAGGGUGGUAGGGGUAUGCGGAACUAUCGGUGGAGCGGUGAAAUGCGUAGAUAUCGGGAGGAACACCGGUGGCGAAGGCGGUUCUCUGGGCCUGACCUGACGCUGAGGAGCGAAAGCGUGGGGAGCGAACAGG
Molecule: ribosomal RNA, 253 nt
Filed under: uncultured bacterium
Lineage: Bacteria
Description: partial 16S ribosomal RNA
Rfam family: Bacterial small subunit ribosomal RNA
Source: RNAcentral